Long non-coding RNA from Leopardus geoffroyi (Geoffroy's cat), 732 nucleotides. RefSeq lists it as uncharacterized. The record is from RefSeq and is a predicted model, not a curated record. The transcript has 3 exons. NCBI's taxonomy places the organism in Eukaryota, Metazoa, Chordata, Mammalia, Carnivora, Felidae.
GAGCAAGAAGAGAGGGUUCUGGGUAGAGGAAACCCCACCUGCAAUGACCAAGGUGCAAAGAGCUUGCAUAUGUUGCUUCUUACUAUGUGUCAGACCUCAUGUGAGGUACUGGAGUGCAGAGCUGAAUAAGACACAGGCCAGCUCUCAGACAGCCUACAGUCUGAGUGGAGGAGACCACCAAGGACAUGAACCCACCUCAGGAGUGCUUCUUGGCACCUCUUCCACGAACCUCCCAUUGCUGAUCUCACUGCCCAGUUACUCCAUGUCUCAGAACACCCAGAAUCUCGAUGUCUGGCCUCACGGGCACUCUUCAUCUGGCCCAUUUUCAAACACCUGUUGAGAGACCUCCAGAAUUAAUACUUACGUAACAGCUUUCGGGCCACACUUGGAAGAAUGAUGCCCUCCAGCCCCCUGUGAGACGCUCUGCACAUGGAUAUGCUUUAUGGAAUCCAUUGGAAACUUUCUGCCAAGUACUCUUCCAGAUGUCUGAGGGGAUGCACAGAGGAGUCUUUGUAGAGGGAGGUCCUUCUGUGGUGAUGCUUGCAGGCAGAUUUGGGUGUGGAUCCCAGUUCUAAGUAGUUUCAUGAUCCUAGAUGUGUUACCUAAAUAUGGCCUUGACCUGAAGCUAGGUUCUUAAACUCUUUUGUGCCGUGGAUUUCAUUGAUAGGCUGGAGAGGCCUUAUGGAUCUCUUCUGAGAAUGUUUUAAUGUUUAAUGUCUUAAAUGCAGAAAA